RNAcentral lists this non-coding RNA (31 nucleotides) under Rattus norvegicus (Norway rat). Lineage: Eukaryota; Metazoa; Chordata; Mammalia; Rodentia; Muridae. The record is from RNAcentral.
UGUCUAAAAUGGACCUGUGUUUAAUUUCACA